ACGUUAGCGGCGGACGGGUGAGUAACACGUGGGUAACCUACCUAUAAGACUGGGAUAACUUCGGGAAACCGGAGCUAAUACCGGAUAAUAUUUCGAACCGCAUGGUUCGAUAGUGAAAGAUGGUUUUGCUAUCACUUAUAGAUGGACCCGCGCCGUAUUAGCUAGUUGGUAAGGUAACGGCUUACCAAGGCGACGAUACGUAGCCGACCUGAGAGGGUGAUCGGCCACACUGGAACUGAGACACGGUCCAG
This 251-nucleotide ribosomal RNA is filed under the name uncultured Staphylococcus sp. RNAcentral describes it as "partial 16S ribosomal RNA". It matches the Rfam family "Bacterial small subunit ribosomal RNA", at positions 89 to 334 of the family's 1533-position model. Lineage: Bacteria; Bacillati; Bacillota; Bacilli; Caryophanales; Staphylococcaceae. The record is from RNAcentral.